AAUCUUCGGCAACGGGAAUCGACCUCCGGUGGCGUGGAUCGAUCUCAGGCAACAGGAAUCAGGCACAAAACGACCCUCGGUCCCUUCGAUUUCGUUGCCAGGAUGGAGCGCCCCCUUCUUUCAAUCGGUAGCCUCUUGCAGCGUGGGCGAGGACGCAAAGGUGAAGCCCACACGCGGCAACUGAACUUCCUCACCGUCACCUGAAGCUGAUGGAUUUCUUCAUAGGUUUGCCCUUCAUCCCCUCCGAUUCCCACUCUUUUGAUAGUAGAUCUUCGCAUGGAGGUGUGGACUGUCCGUACAGGCAGUAGAUCUUUUUAAUUCUCGUGAGUAGAAGGGAUAUUAAUAUCUUCCUGAUUCAUCAUCAUGGACAUUUGGUGUAUUACUUUGUACAAGCUACAAAGGAAUGCCGUUUUAAAUAUAUGUUUGUUUCUGAAUUCUUCAUUGCCUUUUUGAAUUGAAUUGACAUAUCUUCUUUCUAAAAUUUUAGACAGUUACAGACCACAACUGCUGUAGCAUGCAAUUCAAGUUAAAAAAAAAAGCUAGGUGUACUAAAAUAAUCUAUAUCUACACAUAGAGAGUAUGCCACACUUUUAUUGUGGUUAAAUAUGGAAAACCAAUGUAGAGUUUUCUCAGUGAUAUUGGAGAAGUCUCUGAGUUGCAGAAAAUUAUGGUCGUUGUGAUGAAUGUACCAUGAGGGUCAUUUAGCAAGUCUCCUGAUAAACUUGGCGCUGAUUGGUAGACAUUUGAUCUUGGUGACAAAUGAAUUCAUCUUAAUGAGUUAGUUAUCAUUCUUGAUAGAUUUUGAUAGCUUAACAUUUAUAUCCUUGAACUCUGAGUAAAAAUUGGUAUCCAUUUGGUGUUAGCUGUAUCCAUUUGGUGUUAACUAACUAUCCAUUUGAUGCGUCGCUAGAGCUCGGGGACCGGCACACUGAUGGCCACAUCUUCGUAUUUGAGCACAUCUUCUCUCCUACCGGCCAAGGUGACCAUUUUUCCCUUCUUUCUUGAAUCGAAGCUACAUGUUUUUGUGCUUGUGCUUGACAAUUGGAUAUAAGUAGAUCUUAGAGUGCUUGGGUGACACAAUUGGAUGAGAGUAGAUCACAUAAUUUUCCUUCUAAACGCAUCAGUUCUCCUUCAAUCUCCAAUGCUUGUCAUGGUUGUACUGAACUGUAUUGAUGAGAGUAGAUCACACAAUCUGCAGCUUGCAUACAUGGGUAGUGGUGAUAGCAGUCUUGUUUAUUUACAUUCAGUUUUGGUAACCAUAUUUAAUUUGUGCCAAAGCACUGGUUGUGAGACGGCCCAGGUCGGCCUGAGGACCCUUACAUGGCCCAAGCACAGUUCCCAGGGGUUACAUCUCCCAGUGUCAGGGCGGGGCCAGGGUUCGGGAAUUUUCUCGGUCGGAGAAGCCGAGGCUUCUUCUUAAGUUAAUACCGGUGGGGCGGUCUUUCCCCACCCGGCCGAGUUUUUUUAUUUACAUUUAGUUUUGGUAACCAUAUUUAAUUUGUAGGACAAAUGGUUGUUCGCGAAUUGUUAUCUUUGUAAUCUGAACUUUCUGAAGGUGGUCACUUAUAAUCUUUAUUGUUUUUUGGAUUGCAUGUUUUGAUGACUACCUUUUAUAUCUGCCAAAAAUCUGUCCUGGCGCUUGUGAUUUAUAUGGACAAACCAGGGACAAUGAUGGGAAGGAAAUGUGCUACCGGCGUUGGCAUACUCUUCUUGUUGAGGUAGGAGUAAGGAGGAAGGCUGAACCUUCUGAAACGGCCAGCGAAAUUGAGGUAUUUGAUUAUUUGUAAAUUUUAAGGAAGGUGGCUCUCACAGAGGGCACCCCGACCGUAUUGUAUACAUGAUCCCCAGGUUUCAGGUAGGAUGAUGAUAGCAUUUAGAUUGUUGUAGCUGGAUCUGGAGCUGACAACAAUUGCUAUAAAAACCCAAUCCAUUUUAUACCAAUAAAAUAUUCUGAACUUGCAAAUUUGGGAUACAGUUUCUAUAGUUGUCCAUGUAUAGAAUGGAGUGAUCUUGACAAUGGCA
Panicum virgatum (switchgrass) is the source of this 2022-nucleotide long non-coding RNA. RefSeq lists it as uncharacterized. The transcript is spliced from 2 exons. The record is from RefSeq and is a predicted model, not a curated record. NCBI's taxonomy places the organism in Eukaryota, Viridiplantae, Streptophyta, Magnoliopsida, Poales, Poaceae.